This is a small nuclear RNA of Urocitellus parryii (Arctic ground squirrel), 105 nucleotides long. The record is from Ensembl. NCBI's taxonomy places the organism in Eukaryota, Metazoa, Chordata, Mammalia, Rodentia, Sciuridae.
GUGCUCACCAUGCAGAACAGGUGCUGAACAGUAAUGAGGCAGAGAAGAUGAGCACGGCCCCUGAGCAAGCAUAACGUGCAAGUUCAGGAAGCGUGACUCAUUUGU